CCUACGGGAGGCAGCAGUGGGGAAUAUUGCGCAAUGGGGGAAACCCUGACGCAGCAACGCCGCGUGAGUGAGGAAGGACUUCGGUCUGUAAAGCUCUGUUAAUGUGGAAAAAUGGCAGUUGGUCUAAUAGGCCGAUUGUUUGAUGGUACACAUAGAGGAAGCACCGGCUAACUUCGUGCCAGCAGCCGCGGUAAUACGAAGGGUGCAAGCGUUGUUCGGAUUUAUUGGGCGUAAAGCGCGCGUAGGCGGACCUGCAAGUCAGAUGUGAAAUCUCGGGGCUCAACCUCGAAACUGCGUCUGAAACUACAGGUCUAGAAUCUCGGAGGGGGAAGGGGAAUUUCGCAUGUAGGGGUAAAAUCCGUAGAUAUGCGAAGGAACACCAGAGGCGAAGGCGCCUUCCUGGACGAGUAUUGACGCUGAGGCGCGAAAGCGUGGGGAUCAAACAGGAUUAGAUACCCUGGUAGUCCACGCUGUAAACUAUGAACACUAGGUAUUGGAGGAUUUGACCCCUUCAGUGCCGUAGCUAACGCGUUAAGUGUUCCGCCUGGGAAAGUACGGUCGCAAGACUAAAACUCAAAAGGAAUUGACCGGNNGAGAGNGACGACGACGACGACGAGGAGGAGG
RNAcentral lists this ribosomal RNA (624 nucleotides) under uncultured bacterium. Its description in RNAcentral is "bacterial SSU rRNA". It matches the Rfam family "Bacterial small subunit ribosomal RNA", at positions 338 to 950 of the family's 1533-position model. The record is from RNAcentral.